CGCUUAUUUAAUAAAUUAAUGCGUUGUAAAGGUUUAUUUAAAGGGUACAAAAAGUAUGUAAUAAAAAAUUGUAAUAAGAAAAAAUUGUGUUAUACAAAAUGAACAAAAAUAAAAAAAAAUUGUAAAAAAUGUUUUAUAAAAAGAAAAUCAUGGGAAAAAAAAAAAAAAUUAAGUGUGCAAAGUCAUUUACUGGGGUAUUACUGUUGUAACAAUAUAUUUAUUAAUUAAAUAAAUUAAUGGAUAAGUUUAAAUAAAUAUAUAUAUGUAUAUACAAUCAUAUAUGAGUUUAACAAAUUAAUUUUAUUUUGUGGUUAUAAAAAAAAUGAAAAAAAAAAUAGCUACUACAACAUAAAGAGAUGUUGUUUACGCGUCUAUAAAUGUUGUUAACCUUUGACAAAAAAAAAAAAAAUAUAUAUAUAUAUAUAUAUAUAUGUAUAUAUGUAUAUAUAUAUAUACAUACAUUUACAACUAAAUAAUUUUAUUUUUAUCGGAAUUAAGUAAAAAAAUAAAGUAUAAUUAAAAUAUUAAUUUACUUUUUAAUAAACCCAAAAUAAUUAUGGGGAAUGCUUGUUGUGCAGGAAGAGAUUUACUUUAUAAAAAUAAACUACAUGAGUUUGGUGUAGAGGGGUCAAAGACAAUAAGGAAUUUAUUAUCAUUUACAAGUAAUGAUAUUAUAAGAUUCGAUAAGGCAUAUGAUGAAAAUAAUGUUCAAGAAUUUGUGAAAUUAUGUUCUUCUAGCUGCGAGAUUGAAAAGUUAGAGGACAGAAUGCAUCCCUGGGCUGCCGACCCCAAAACAAUUGGAGCAUUAGCAGCAACACAAUUAGCAAUAUUGGCUAGUAAAGAAAAUGAGCCACAUUAUAAAGAUGCAAUACGUGAAGCUAAUGGAAUACCUGUCUUUAUUAAUUUGUUAAAAUCACAUGAAUUGGAUAGAGUACAUGCCGCAGUUGUUGCUUUAUCAUUUUUAUCAGUUGAUAGUAAGAUCAAAUUAAAUAAAUAAAAUACUACAAAUUUUAUAUGUGUAUGACUUUU
RNAcentral lists this long non-coding RNA (1029 nucleotides) under Piliocolobus tephrosceles (Ugandan red Colobus). RNAcentral describes it as "lncRNA (ENSPTEG00000016702.1)". Lineage: Eukaryota; Metazoa; Chordata; Mammalia; Primates; Cercopithecidae. The record is from RNAcentral.